Molecule: ribosomal RNA, 433 nt
Filed under: uncultured bacterium
Lineage: Bacteria
Description: bacterial SSU rRNA
Rfam family: Archaeal small subunit ribosomal RNA
Source: RNAcentral
ACUCAAUAGAUACCCCGGUAGUCCCAGCUGUAAACGAUGCAGACUCGGUGAUGGGUUGGCUUCGAGCCAAACCCAGUGCCGCAGGGAAGCCGUUAAGUCUGCCGCCUGGGGAGUACGGUCGCAAAACUGAAACUUAAAGGAAUUGGCGGGGGAGCACCACAAGGGGUGAAGCCUGCGGUUCAAUUGGAGUCAACGCCGGAAAUCUUACCGGGAGCGACAGCAGAGUGAAGGUCAAGCUGAAGACUUUACCAGACAAGCUGAGAGGAGGUGCAUGGCCGUCGCCAGCUCGUGCCGUGAGGUGUCCUGUUAAGUCAGGUAACGAGCAAGAUCCCUGCCUCUAGUUGCUACCGCUGGUCUCCGGACUAGCAGGGCUAAUUAGAGGGACCGCCGCCGCUGAGGCGGAGGAAGGAGGGGGCUACGGCAGGUCAGUAUG